GUCGAGCGGCAGUGGGGAGUAGCUUGCUACUCUGCCGGCGAGCGGCGGACGGGUGAGUAAUGCCUGGGAAUUUGCCCAUUCGAGGGGGAUAACAGUUGGAAACGACUGCUAAUACCGCAUACGCCCUAAGGGGGAAAGCAGGGGAACUUAGGUCCUUGCGCGAAUGGAUAAGCCCAGGUGGGAUUAGCUAGUAGGUGGGGUAACGGCUCACCUAGGCGACGAUCCCUAGCUGGUCUGAGAGGAUGACCAGCCACACUGGAACUGAGACACGGUCCAGACUCCUACGGGAGGCAGCAGUGGGGAAUAUUGCACAAUGGGCGCAAGCCUGAUGCAGCCAUGCCGCGUGUAUGAAGAAGGCCUUCGGGUUGUAAAGUACUUUCAGCGAGGAGGAAGGUGUUGAGGUUAAUAACCUCAGCAAUUGACGUUACUCGCAGAAGAAGCACCGGCUAACUCCGUGCCAGCAGCCGCGGUAAUACGGAGGGUGCAAGCGUUAAUCGGAAUUACUGGGCGUAAAGCGCACGCAGGCGGUCUGUCAAGUCGGAUGUGAAAUCCCCGGGCUCAACCUGGGAACUGCAUUCGAAACUGGCAGGCUAGAGUCUUGUAGAGGGGGGUAGAAUUCCAGGUGUAGCGGUGAAAUGCGUAGAGAUCUGGAGGAAUACCGGUGGCGAAGGCGGCCCCCUGGACAAAGACUGACGCUCAGGUGCGAA
RNAcentral lists this ribosomal RNA (707 nucleotides) under uncultured bacterium. RNAcentral describes it as "bacterial SSU rRNA". It matches the Rfam family "Bacterial small subunit ribosomal RNA", at positions 61 to 757 of the family's 1533-position model. The record is from RNAcentral.